GGGGAUGAACGGCUUCGAUAGGUUUUGAGGCCUGAACUGCGAGUCGAGCGUUGUCUCGUAAAUCCAACAAAAAAAUUAUAACUGCCAACUCAAAAGUUGCAGCUCCAGCUUUCGCUUACGCCUAAGCUGGGAUCGGUUGAGCCCGGGCUUCUUGGGUUCAAAUCCGGUCUUAUAUAAGGAAGCUGGUUUCUAAACGAUGAUUCUGGUUUAGGGACGAGAUAAGAAUCACUUUGUCUGAUUAAUUUCAGUCUAUACUCGUAGACGGUUCAGCGCUCCAAUCUCUACACGGCGGUCCGACUCCGCCCAUCUCCACUA
RNAcentral lists this transfer-messenger RNA (315 nucleotides) under Candidatus Liptonbacteria bacterium. It matches the Rfam family "transfer-messenger RNA". From Rfam's summary of the family: Bacterial tmRNA, also known as 10Sa RNA or SsrA, is named for its dual tRNA and mRNA-like properties. Its role is to liberate the mRNA from a stalled ribosome. To accomplish this part of the tmRNA is used as a reading frame that ends in a translation stop signal. Lineage: Bacteria; Candidatus Liptoniibacteriota. The record is from RNAcentral. RNAcentral also lists the same sequence under 1 other name.